RNAcentral lists this long non-coding RNA (597 nucleotides) under Anas platyrhynchos platyrhynchos (common mallard). RNAcentral's name for it is "lncRNA (ENSAPLG00000017741.1)". Lineage: Eukaryota; Metazoa; Chordata; Aves; Anseriformes; Anatidae. The record is from RNAcentral.
UCUUCAAUUAUAGAUUAUUUUUUUUCUCCUUGUGAAUAGGACUUUCUUAUAAAUUCUUUCAGGUGCUGCUUCUCACUGCUGCUCACUUUUCACUAGAAAAAAAAUGCCUUUCUUGAGCUAUAAGGGAAAAUCCAAGUAAGGAAGAAAAACAGGGGGAGCUGAGCGGUCGUGCACCAUGCGGGUGCUGAUGACUCAAGGAAGAUGAGUGCCUCGGAGACUAAACUUGUGCCAUGAGGCAGGAGUCCCACUGACCAGUGUCUUCAUGAUGGUGUCUGAAAUAGUGCUUCUGCUGUGACCAACCUGGCAGGCAGGUGGAGCUCUGGCUUUGUUACACAAAGAUCAGAUAACAGAGUGCAGAGGAGGCAUAAAAGUCGGAAGCUGGUCGGUUCUCCCAGUCAAGCUUGUGAACCAGCACGCAGACAAAGGUGAGUUUGCAUGCAAAUGGAAAUUGAUGCCUGAGCAUUCAUGACAGUAUGGAGGUACUAACAUUUGAGUAUUAGGCCCUGAGGAUGCAUCCAGUACCUUGUGUGAAGGCUGUGUAGAACCUGAAACUCCAAAAUCUCUAUUCAGAGCUUUACUUAAACAUCUAUAUAUUUU